GACGAACGCUGGCGGCGUGCUUAACACAUGCAAGUCGAACGGUGAACCCCUUCGGGGGGGAUCAGUGGCGAACGGGUGAGUAACACGUGAGCAACCUGCCCCUGACUCUGGGAUAACCCCGGGAAACCGGAGCUAAUACCAGAUACGACCUGCUCGGGCAUCCGAUGCGGGUGGAAAGAUUUAUUGGUUGGGGAUGGGCUCGCGGCCUAUCAGCUUGUUGGUGGGGUAAUGGCCUACCAAGGCGACGACGGGUAGCCGGCCUGAGAGGGCGACCGGCCACACUGGGACUGAGACACGGCCCAGACUCCUACGGGAGGCAGCAGUGGGGAAUAUUGCGCAAUGGGCGAAAGCCUGACGCAGCGACGCCGCGUGAGGGAUG
Molecule: ribosomal RNA, 379 nt
Filed under: uncultured bacterium
Lineage: Bacteria
Description: bacterial SSU rRNA
Rfam family: Bacterial small subunit ribosomal RNA
Source: RNAcentral